Molecule: ribosomal RNA, 467 nt
Filed under: uncultured bacterium
Lineage: Bacteria
Description: partial 16S ribosomal RNA
Rfam family: Bacterial small subunit ribosomal RNA
Source: RNAcentral
GACGAACGCUGGCGGCGUGCUUAACACAUGCAAGUCGAACGGAAAGGCCCUGCUUUUGUGGGGUGCUCGAGUGGCGAACGGGUGAGUAACACGUGAGUAACCUGCCCUUGACUUUGGGAUAACUUCAGGAAACUGGGGCUAAUACCGGAUAGGAGCUCCUGCUGCAUGGUGGGGGUUGGAAAGUUUCGGCGGUUGGGGAUGGACUCGCGGCUUAUCAGCUUGUUGGUGGGGUAGUGGCUUACCAAGGCUUUGACGGGUAGCCGGCCUGAGAGGGUGACCGGCCACAUUGGGACUGAGAUACGGCCCAGACUCCUACGGGAGGCAACAGUGGGGAAUAGUGCACAAUGAGCGGAAGCCUGAUGCAGCAACGCCGCGUGCGGGAUGACGGCCUUCGGGUUGUAAACCGCUUUCGCCUGUGACGAAGCGUGAGUGACGGGAAUGGGUAAAGAAGCACCGGCUAACUACGU